AACGAACGCUGGCGGCAGGCCUAAUACAUGCAAGUCGAGCGCGCCCUUCGGGGUGAGCGGCGGACGGGUGAGUAACGCGUGGGAAUAUGCCCUUCUCUAAGGAAUAGCCUCUGGAAACGGAGAGUAAUACCUUAUACGCCCUUUGGGGGAAAGAUUUAUCGGAGAAGGAUUAGCCCGCGUUAGAUUAGGUAGUUGGUGGGGUAAUGGCCUACCAAGCCUACGAUCUAUAGCUGGUUUGAGAGGAUGAUCAGCCACACUGGGACUGAGACACGGCCCAGACUCCUACGGGAGGCAGCAGUAGGGAAUCUUAGACAAUGGGGGCAACCCUGAUCUAGCCAUGCCGCGUGUGUGAUGAAGGCCCUAGGGUCGUAAAGCACUUUCGCCAGAGAUGAUAAUGACAGUAUCUGGUAAAGAAACCCCGGCUAACUCCG
Molecule: ribosomal RNA, 431 nt
Filed under: uncultured Octadecabacter sp.
Lineage: Bacteria; Pseudomonadati; Pseudomonadota; Alphaproteobacteria; Rhodobacterales; Roseobacteraceae
Description: bacterial SSU rRNA
Rfam family: Bacterial small subunit ribosomal RNA
Source: RNAcentral